GGUUAAGCGACUAAGCGUACACGGUGGAUGCCCUGGCAGUCAGAGGCGAUGAAGGACGUGCUAAUCUGCGAUAAGCGUCGGUAAGGUGAUAUGAACCGUUAUAACCGGCGAUUUCCGAAUGGGGAAACCCAGUGUGUUUCGACACACUAUCAUUAACUGAAUCCAUAGGUUAAUGAGGCGAACCGGGGGAACUGAAACAUCUAAGUACCCCGAGGAAAAGAAAUCAACCGAGAUUCCCCCAGUAGCGGCGAGCGAACGGGGAGCAGCCCAGAGCCUGAAUCAGUGUGUGUGUUAGUGGAAGCGUCUGGAAAGGCGCGCGAUACAGGGUGACAGCCCCGUACACAAAAAUGCACAUGCUGUGAGCUCGAUGAGUAGGGCGGGACACGUGGUAUCCUGUCUGAAUAUGGGGGGACCAUCCUCCAAGGCUAAAUACUCCUGACUGACCGAUAGUGAACCAGUACCGUGAGGGAAAGGCGAAAAGAACCCCGGCGAGGGGAGUGAAAAAGAACCUGAAACCGUGUACGUACAAGCAGUGGGAGCACGCUUAGGCGUGUGACUGCGUACCUUUUGUAUAAUGGGUCAGCGACUUAUAUUCUGUAGCAAGGUUAACCGAAUAGGGGAGCCGAAGGGAAACCGAGUCUUAACUGGGCGUUAAGUUGCAGGGUAUAGACCCGAAACCCGGUGAUCUAGCCAUGGGCAGGUUGAAGGUUGGGUAACACUAACUGGAGGACCGAACCGACUAAUGUUGAAAAAUUAGCGGAUGACUUGUGGCUGGGGGUGAAAGGCCAAUCAAACCGGGAGAUAGCUGGUUCUCCCCGAAAGCUAUUUAGGUAGCGCCUCGUGAAUUCAUCUCCGGGGGUAGAGCACUGUUUCGGCAAGGGGGUCAUCCCGACUUACCAACCCGAUGCAAACUGCGAAUACCGGAGAAUGUUAUCACGGGAGACACACGGCGGGUGCUAACGUCCGUCGUGAAGAGGGAAACAACCCAGACCGCCAGCUAAGGUCCCAAAGUCAUGGUUAAGUGGGAAACGAUGUGGGAAGGCCCAGACAGCCAGGAUGUUGGCUUAGAAGCAGCCAUCAUUUAAAGAAAGCGUAAUAGCUCACUGGUCGAGUCGGCCUGCGCGGAAGAUGUAACGGGGCUAAACCAUGCACCGAAGCUGCGGCAGCGACGCUUAUGCGUUGUUGGGUAGGGGAGCGUUCUGUAAGCCUGCGAAGGUGUGCUGUGAGGCAUGCUGGAGGUAUCAGAAGUGCGAAUGCUGACAUAAGUAACGAUAAAGCGGGUGAAAAGCCCGCUCGCCGGAAGACCAAGGGUUCCUGUCCAACGUUAAUCGGGGCAGGGUGAGUCGACCCCUAAGGCGAGGCCGAAAGGCGUAGUCGAUGGGAAACAGGUUAAUAUUCCUGUACUUGGUGUUACUGCGAAGGGGGGACGGAGAAGGCUAUGUUGGCCGGGCGACGGUUGUCCCGGUUUAAGCGUGUAGGCUGGUUUUCCAGGCAAAUCCGGAAAAUCAAGGCUGAGGCGUGAUGACGAGGCACUACGGUGCUGAAGCAACAAAUGCCCUGCUUCCAGGAAAAGCCUCUAAGCAUCAGGUAACAUCAAAUCGUACCCCAAACCGACACAGGUGGUCAGGUAGAGAAUACCAAGGCGCUUGAGAGAACUCGGGUGAAGGAACUAGGCAAAAUGGUGCCGUAACUUCGGGAGAAGGCACGCUGAUAUGUAGGUGAGGUCCCUCGCGGAUGGAGCUGAAAUCAGUCGAAGAUACCAGCUGGCUGCAACUGUUUAUUAAAAACACAGCACUGUGCAAACACGAAAGUGGACGUAUACGGUGUGACGCCUGCCCGGUGCCGGAAGGUUAAUUGAUGGGGUUAGCCGCAAGGCGAAGCUCUUGAUCGAAGCCCCGGUAAACGGCGGCCGUAACUAUAACGGUCCUAAGGUAGCGAAAUUCCUUGUCGGGUAAGUUCCGACCUGCACGAAUGGCGUAAUGAUGGCCAGGCUGUCUCCACCCGAGACUCAGUGAAAUUGAACUCGCUGUGAAGAUGCAGUGUACCCGCGGCAAGACGGAAAGACCCCGUGAACCUUUACUAUAGCUUGACACUGAACAUUGAGCCUUGAUGUGUAGGAUAGGUGGGAGGCUUAGAAGUGUGGACGCCAGUCUGCAUGGAGCCGACCUUGAAAUACCACCCUUUAAUGUUUGAUGUUCUAACGUUGACCCGUAAUCCGGGUUGCGGACAGUGUCUGGUGGGUAGUUUGACUGGGGCGGUCUCCUCCUAAAGAGUAACGGAGGAGCACGAAGGUUGGCUAAUCCUGGUCGGACAUCAGGAGGUUAGUGCAAUGGCAUAAGCCAGCUUGACUGCGAGCGUGACGGCGCGAGCAGGUGCGAAAGCAGGUCAUAGUGAUCCGGUGGUUCUGAAUGGAAGGGCCAUCGCUCAACGGAUAAAAGGUACUCCGGGGAUAACAGGCUGAUACCGCCCAAGAGUUCAUAUCGACGGCGGUGUUUGGCACCUCGAUGUCGGCUCAUCACAUCCUGGGGCUGAAGUAGGUCCCAAGGGUAUGGCUGUUCGCCAUUUAAAGUGGUACGCGAGCUGGGUUUAGAACGUCGUGAGACAGUUCGGUCCCUAUCUGCCGUGGGCGCUGGAGAACUGAGGGGGGCUGCUCCUAGUACGAGAGGACCGGAGUGGACGCAUCACUGGUGUUCGGGUUGUCAUGCCAAUGGCACUGCCCGGUAGCUAAAUGCGGAAGAGAUAAGUGCUGAAAGCAUCUAAGCACGAAACUUGCCCCGAGAUGAGUUCUCCCUGACCCUUUAAGGGUCCUGAAGGAACGUUGAAGACGACGACGUUGAUAGGCCGGGUGUGUAAGCGCAGCGAUGCGUUGAGCUAACCGGUACUAAUGAACCGUGAGGCUUAACCUU
RNAcentral lists this ribosomal RNA (2906 nucleotides) under Escherichia coli. RNAcentral describes it as "23S ribosomal RNA". It matches the Rfam family "Bacterial large subunit ribosomal RNA". The record is from RNAcentral. Lineage: Bacteria; Pseudomonadati; Pseudomonadota; Gammaproteobacteria; Enterobacterales; Enterobacteriaceae.